Pelobates cultripes (western spadefoot toad) is the source of this 75-nucleotide non-coding RNA. Lineage: Eukaryota; Metazoa; Chordata; Amphibia; Anura; Pelobatidae. The record is from the annotation of a GenBank genome assembly.
CCUAUCAACUUUCAGUGUUACUUUCUGCGUCUGCCAUGGUGACCACGGGUAACGGCGAAUCAGGGUUUGAUUCUG